CCUACGAGAGGCAGCAGUGGGGAAUAUUGCACAAUGGGGGAAACCCUGAUGCAGCGACGCCGCGUGAGUGAAGAAGUAUUUCGGUAUUUAAAGCUCUAUCAGCAGGGAAGAAAAUGACGGUACCUGACUAAGAAGCCCCGUCUAACUACGUGCCAGCAGCCGCGGUAAUACGUAGGGGGCCAGCGUUAUCCGGAUUUACUGGUUGUAAUGGGAGGGUAGACGGCCAGACAUGUCAGAAGGGAAAGACCAGAGCUCAACCCUGGGACUGCUUUUGAAACUGCGGGGCUGGAGUGCACGAGAGGUAAGCGGAAUUCCUAGUGUAGCGGUGAAAUGCGUAGAUAUCAGGAGGAACACCAGUGGCGAAGGCGGCUUACUGGACUGUAACUGACGUUGAGGCUCGAAAGCGUGGGGAGCAAACAGGAUUAGAUACCCGUGUAGUC
This 440-nucleotide ribosomal RNA is filed under the name uncultured bacterium. RNAcentral's name for it is "partial 16S ribosomal RNA". It matches the Rfam family "Bacterial small subunit ribosomal RNA", at positions 338 to 795 of the family's 1533-position model. The record is from RNAcentral.